GCCUGGCGGCCUGCGUCGUUGGGCUGCACCGCUCUCGGUUCCCCGCGUGCCAGCGAGCUCCUCCUCGCGGAGAGGGGCGCCGCAGGUGACUCCAGAGCGCGCAGGAUGAGCAGUGGUCCCCCGGCGGCUGGCAGAUGGACGGAAGCGGCCCCUCCGAGCUGCCCCCUGGGGCGGCUGAUCCAGAGCGCGGUGCCGGCCAAGUUAGCAGCGUGCCUGCCUCCCCCUCCGGAGAGGUUCACCAGGAGGUCAAGGGGGUCGUCCUUUCAUCGGUCUUAGACUUGAGUCAACGUGGCCUUCACCAUUUAGAAGAGAUCUUUAAAAUCCCCAACAUUAAACAACUGCACCUUCAAAGAAACGCCCUCUGCGAGAUUCCCGCAGACUUCUUCCAGUCGCUGCCAAACCUCGCGUGGCUGGACUUCCGCUACAACAGCAUCAGAGCUCUUCCUUCUGGGAUCGGGUCUCACAAGCAUUUGAAAACUUUGCUUUUAGAAAGAAAUCCUAUCAAAAUGUUACCUGUGGAGCUGGGGAACGUGACCACACUGAGAGCCUUGAACCUGAGACACUGCCCCCUGGAGUUCCCCGCCCCCCUCAUCGUGCAGAAGGGACUGGGUGCCAUCCUGGCCUUCCUGCAGGCCUGCACCAUGCAGCGGCCUCCUCCCCGAGGGUCAGCUUCUCCAGAGCGUGUGGCCGACAAGGACGCUGUGAAUUCUCAAGAUCGAAGGGGGAGGUUAAAAGAAAAAGCAGACUUUCUCCCUCCUGUUGAAAAGCUACACCUGAGUGAGCUGGGCAAGUCCACUGCCUCCCCAGAAGACUGGCCGGGCGAGGAGGAAAUCAGGCGCUUUUGGAGGCUGAGGCAGGAGAUUGUCGAGAAGGAGCAGGAGGAAGUGCUUGCAAAGCAGCUCUUACCGGCAGAGUUACCUGCAAACCUCAAGGCGGCUCUGAACACGAAGGAGAAAGAACAUUCCGGCUCCAGACGUGUUCUCAGCGCGUGCCGUCCGCGGGGGAGUGUUCACCGCGGGGUCUGUGACGGUAGAAGGAAGAUGUCCUCCCUCAGGAGCGUCCUGCCGGCCCUGGUGCCACGGCAGCGAGCGGGGCUUCCCGCCAGGAGAGCGGAGGACAGCGGGGCCUUGGCCCCCAGGGAGCAGCACGUACGAGACGAAGGAGCACCGCGGGAGUGGCGGGAGCGAGCCCGGACCCGGAGGACAGCGGAGGAGGCCCUGGGCAAGCCCCUGCCUCCCCAGAGGAGUCUGGGACGAGGACGCCAGCGGGAGGGGUCUCAUCCGGUCCGGGGGCCACGGUGCCCGCUGCAGAGAUGGAGCCUGCGGCCCGCUGACAGACCUAUUUCCUCUCAUGUGGUGUCAAAGAUUCCCUGUGCCGUGGAUUUGGCAGACAAUGAGAAAAUGCCAGUGAAUCCACCCGGAAACAUGAGGCAAAGGAAAGAGAAGUCAUUGCAAGCAAGUGAAGAAAUGAGGGCCUUCCGAGAGGAGCUCUGGGAAGAAAACCUAAAGCAGCACAUUCAGAAAACGCACGAGGGAAGAAAAAGAUUUCAAGGCACGGUGCCACUCAAGGAAAUGAGCCCGGCUGCCCGGGACUUGGACAUUAAAAUAGAAGUGGAGGGGAAACAUCGUAAUUCAUCCUAUGAGGCCAGCAUCACCCUGAUACCAGAACAAAGACGUCACGUAUGAGGAAAACUACAGACCGGUGUCUCUCCUGAACACAGAUGCGAAAAUCCUCAACAAAAUAUUAGCAAAUCAAACCUAACAAUGUAUAAAAGGAAUUAUACACCAUGACCAAGUGGGGUUUGUCCCAGGUGUACAAGGCUGGGUCCACAUUCAAAACCCAUUUUAUGUAAACGUAUCGUCACCUUGUGGCCGAAGAAGGAAAAUCACACGAUCGUAUCAUUUGGUGUGGGAAAAGCAUUUAACAGAAUCCAGCACCUGUUUGUGAUAACUGCUUGUAGCAAACUAGGCACAAGUGGAACUUCCUUGACUUGAUAAAGAGCAUCUACAGAAACUACAGCGAACAUCGUACUUCAUGGCCAGGAAGCUACAGGAUCAAGUGAUGGAGCCGGGACCGGGGCCGACCUUAACUAGAAGCCACCA
This is an RNA transcript of Panthera uncia (snow leopard), 2102 nucleotides long. It is a transcript of the gene named leucine rich repeat containing 27, with no coding region annotated. NCBI's taxonomy places the organism in Eukaryota, Metazoa, Chordata, Mammalia, Carnivora, Felidae. The transcript is spliced from 12 exons. The record is from RefSeq and is a predicted model, not a curated record.